RNAcentral lists this long non-coding RNA (814 nucleotides) under Homo sapiens (human). Its description in RNAcentral is "HSALNT0182315". Lineage: Eukaryota; Metazoa; Chordata; Mammalia; Primates; Hominidae. The record is from RNAcentral.
GGGGUGGACGGCCUCUGCAAAGUGGCCUGAUCAGAUUCCUGAGCAUCUAGGUCAUUGGGCAGGAUGGCGCCUGGCUGGAGCCACCGUUGCUCUCUUCUGACCUUGAAAGGUGUGACAAGUGGAUCUGCAUUCAUUGCUCUGUGAGCCUCUAUUGAGUAUCUAUGAUGUGCUGGGCAUUGACCUGAUCUUUAUGAGAAUUUGGUUAUUUGGAUGAAAUGCUUAUUUCUUUUUUAACAUAAGCAUUGACUGGAAAUAUUGGUUAUUCUGUCUGAUAUUACAUGAAGGUCAGAUGCCCUCCAUGCAACCAUGAGGUCGGAUGGCAGUUUGAUGCUGAACCAGCAAACAAGGCUUCCUCUGCCACUUGCUACUCCUUUGUACUCGUUCCACCUGGCAGUCUGAGGAACACAAACUAAAAUGCAGGUAUUGGUAUCCCAAUAAGAGGCUGUGAAGACAGUUCAAAAAGGGAAGUUUUGAGGCUGGGAUUCUGGAGAAAGGCAUUCAUCUCCCGGUAGGCCCAAGUUCACUUCCUUCUCCACUACAGAACUGCCUCGAUGCGUUUGAGAACAUUCUGUCCUUAUUGUGAAUGCUGACUUGCUCCAAUCAACACAUUUCUUUAACUCCUUUAAAACCAGCUUGUUAGAGCUGUCUACAAUGCCGUGAGGUUCCAACUUCCUCUGAUUAAUUAGGAGGCUCAGAAAUGUCAUAUACUUGUUAUGUACCUCCUACAUGCCUGGUCCUCUGCUAGGAGUUGAGGGUAAAGCAGUGAAUUGGACAAAUAAAAUAGAAACCAGUAUCCACAAGGGCACAGUGAUGG